RNAcentral lists this ribosomal RNA (931 nucleotides) under Cortinarius sp. PDD 87552. Its description in RNAcentral is "partial large subunit ribosomal RNA". It matches the Rfam family "Eukaryotic large subunit ribosomal RNA", at positions 39 to 954 of the family's 3401-position model. Lineage: Eukaryota; Fungi; Basidiomycota; Agaricomycetes; Agaricales; Cortinariaceae. The record is from RNAcentral.
CAUAUCAAUAAGCGGAGGAAAAGAAACUAACAAGGAUUCCCCUAGUAACUGCGAGUGAAGCGGGAAAAGCUCAAAUUUAAAAUCUGGCGGUCUUUUGGCUGUCCGAGUUGUAAUCUAGAGAAGUGUUAUCCGCGCUGGACCGUGUACAAGUCUCCUGGAAUGGAGCGUCAUAGAGGGUGAGAAUCCCGUCUUUGACACGGACUGCCAGGGCUUUUGUGAUGCGCUCUCAACGAGUCGAGUUGUUUGGGAAUGCAGCUCAAAAUGGGUGGUAAAUUCCAUCUAAAGCUAAAUAUUGGCGAGAGACCGAUAGCGAACAAGUACCGUGAGGGAAAGGUGAAAAGAACUUUGGAAAGAGAGUUAAACAGUACGUGAAAUUGCUGAAAGGGAAACGCUUGAAGUCAGUCGCGUUGUCCAGGGAUCAACCUUGCUUUUGCUUGGCGCACUUUCUGGUUGACGGGUCAGCAUCAAUUUUGACUAUUGGAAAAAGAUUAGGGGAAUGUGGCAUCUUCGGAUGUGUUAUAGCCCUUGGUUGCAUACAAUGGUUGGGAUUGAGGAACUCAGCACGCCGCAAGGCCGGGUUUUUAACCACGUACGUGCUUAGGAUGCUGGCAUAAUGGCUUUAAUCGACCCGUCUUGAAACACGGACCAAGGAGUCUAACAUGCCUGCGAGUGUUUGGGUGGAAAACCCGAGCGCGUAAUGAAAGUGAAAGUUGAGAUCCCUGUCGUGGGGAGCAUCGACGCCCGGACCAGACCUUUUGUGACGGUUCCGCGGUAGAGCAUGUAUGUUGGGACCCGAAAGAUGGUGAACUAUGCCUGAAUAGGGUGAAGCCAGAGGAAACUCUGGUGGAGGCUCGUAGCGAUUCUGACGUGCAAAUCGAUCGUCAAAUUUGGGUAUAGGGGCGAAAGACUAAUCGAACCAUCUAGUAGCUGG